RNAcentral lists this ribosomal RNA (439 nucleotides) under uncultured bacterium. RNAcentral describes it as "partial 16S ribosomal RNA". It matches the Rfam family "Bacterial small subunit ribosomal RNA", at positions 339 to 795 of the family's 1533-position model. The record is from RNAcentral.
CUACGGGCGGCACCAGUGAGGAAUAUUGCACAAUGGGGGGAACCCUGAUGCAGCAACGCCGCGUGGAGGAUGACGCAUUUCGGUGUGUAAACUCCUUUUAUAUGUCAAGAAAAUGACGGUAGCAUAUGAAUAAGCGCCGGCUAACUCCGUGCCAGCAGCCGCGGUAAUACGGAGGGCGCAAGCGUUACUCGGAAUCACUGGGCGUAAAGGACGCGUAGGCGGGUUGAAAAGUCAGGUGUGAAAGCCUACAGCUUAACUGUAGAACUGCACUUGAAACUCUCAAUCUAGAGUAUGGGAGGGGCAGAUGGAAUUAGUGGUGUAGGGGUAAUAUCCGUAGAUAUCACUAGGAAUACCUAAAGCGAAGGCGAUCUGCUGGAACAUUACCGACGCUAGGGCGUGAAAGCGUGGGGAGCAAACAGGAUUAGAUACCCCGGUAGUC